UAGUAAUAUCUGGGUUUGUGUUCUUGAGAAUGUUGUUUAAGUAGUGAUUAGGGUUCUUGAGGAUGAAUUAGAUUAGGGUAAUCUCUAGGUUAGUUAGGUGGUUACUGUUUAACUUUAUACCCUUCUGGAUUCGCUUGGCCCCUAUGUGGUUUUUGCUGGCUAAUGUGGAGAUUCGAUCAUAGACGUCCAUUGUCCAAAAGAUGUUCAAAUGGAUGUCUGACCUACGAAUUCCAGAGAUUUGUAGACUCGACCAAGAGAUUGGCUUGUCUGCCUAUUGGCUUUGGUAGAUUGUUUCGUAAACCCUGCUCUUCUAUGUUUCAUCAACGAGAGUUGAGAUUAGGAAGUGGUAGAGUUAUGGGGGUCUCUAUCACGAGAGUGGAUUGACCCGGUUUUUGAAUCUAUCGUCAUGGGUAUCUACCUUUCGCCUAUUAGCCAUCUGAUGAACCCUAGAGUUGCCCUUAUCAAUGAAUCCAUCCUUAGAACUUCUAUUAGAUUUAUUUGUAUCCCUUGUUAAUUGCACUUUUAUUUACCUGUUAUUUGUAUCCCCUGUUGAUUGCAUUUAGGUUACUUAAUUUUGUUGCAUGUUUGUUCUACUCGACCCAAUGAUCGAGUAGGGCUCUUUAAGUUCUCAUUUUUACUUGUUUGAAUCCUGACCUAGGAUUGUUACUAGAAACCCACCAUCUUUAUAAUCUGGCUUGACUUAGUUAUUUCUGUACAGAUCUUGAUUGCUAGCAAUAACAGUAGACUGGAUAGACACCCCUUAUAGCUGCAUCGACAUGUUUGUGUUUUAGGGGAAUUGAACUGAAUCACACAUUCACCCUAAGCAGGCAU
This 831-nucleotide small RNA is filed under the name Arabidopsis thaliana (thale cress). RNAcentral describes it as "ATSL275860". Lineage: Eukaryota; Viridiplantae; Streptophyta; Magnoliopsida; Brassicales; Brassicaceae. The record is from RNAcentral.